UAAAGAACUCAGCAAGGAAGGCUUCCAGAAGGAGGUAAGUUUUCAGUCGGUUUUAGAAGAGAGGCGAAGUUUUAGUUUACAUAUGGCUGUCAGAAGGCAGAUGAAAAGAUGAAAGAACUCACACGCCCUCAUGCCAAGACUCAGCAGCUGAAGGGGGAAGCCUUGGAGCAAAUCAAAGCAAUGUCCUUGAUUGAGGAUGAAAGAGAAUUUGGGCCUGGAAUUGGAAAUCUGUGGACACUAAUCUUCAGCUUUGUGCUGACGUCAGAGCCCCAGGACAUAGUUGUAUCUUCUAGUUGUGAGUGCCUCUGGUUGUGCUAUGUGGGAC
Long non-coding RNA from Equus quagga, 325 nucleotides. RefSeq lists it as uncharacterized. The record is from RefSeq and is a predicted model, not a curated record. NCBI's taxonomy places the organism in Eukaryota, Metazoa, Chordata, Mammalia, Perissodactyla, Equidae. The transcript is spliced from 3 exons.